AAGUCGUAACAAGGUUUCCGUAGGUGAACCUGCGGAAGGAUCAUUAUCCUUUAGCUUGUGCGAGACGCUCUUAUAGCUCUUGUCACUCGAGCUCACAACGCUCUUAUUGCGCGGUAGCCGGCUCUUAACGGAGUCGACUGCCAACCAAACCCCAAAUCCACAGUAGGCUCACUUGCUACUGCGGUCAGGUACCUAUCAGCUGAAGCGAUUCUCUCGGGAGUCGUGUUGGCGUAAAGAUUACAGCACCUCACGUGCAGUAACGCCUGUUUAGCUUACAAGUUUUCUCACCUUUAAAUUGCAUAUUCUUAGAGUUGUGAUUGUGAUAAAGUCUAAUCUAAUUAGAUGAUUUAACACAUUAACAACCCUAUGCGGUGGAUCACUUGGCUC
This 387-nucleotide unclassified non-coding RNA is filed under the name fungal sp. RNAcentral describes it as "partial internal transcribed spacer region". The stretch from base 1 to 46 matches the Rfam family "Eukaryotic small subunit ribosomal RNA", at positions 1786 to 1831 of the family's 1831-position model. Lineage: Eukaryota; Fungi. The record is from RNAcentral.